Molecule: transfer RNA, 71 nt
Filed under: Ovis aries (sheep)
Lineage: Eukaryota; Metazoa; Chordata; Mammalia; Artiodactyla; Bovidae
Rfam family: tRNA
About the family: Transfer RNA (tRNA) molecules are approximately 80 nucleotides in length. Their secondary structure includes four short double-helical elements and three loops (D, anti-codon, and T loops). Further hydrogen bonds mediate the characteristic L-shaped molecular structure. tRNAs have two regions of fundamental functional importance: the anti-codon, which is responsible for specific mRNA codon recognition, and the 3' end, to which the tRNAs corresponding amino acid is attached (by aminoacyl-tRNA synthetases). tRNAs cope with the degeneracy of the genetic code in two manners: having more than one tRNA (with a specific anti-codon) for a particular amino acid; and 'wobble' base-pairing, i.e. permitting non-standard base-pairing at the 3rd anti-codon position.
Source: Rfam by way of RNAcentral
UCCCUAGUGGUCUAGUGGUUAAGACUUUGCCUUCCAAGGCAGGGGUACAGGUUCCAGCCCCAUUUGGGGAG